Molecule: ribosomal RNA, 468 nt
Filed under: uncultured bacterium
Lineage: Bacteria
Description: partial 16S ribosomal RNA
Rfam family: Bacterial small subunit ribosomal RNA
Source: RNAcentral
GACGAACGCUGGCGGCGUGCUUAACACAUGCAAGUCGAACGGAAAGGCCCUGCUUUUGUGGGGUGCUCGAGUGGCGAACGGGUGAGUAACACGUGAGUAACCUGCCCUUGACUUUGGGAUAACUUCAGGAAACUGGGGCUAAUACCGGAUAGGAGACCCUGCUGCAUGGUGGGGGUUGGAACGUUUCGGCGGUUGGGGAUGGACUAGCGGCUUAUCAGCUUGUUGGUGGGGUAGUGGCUUACCAAGGCUUUGACGGGUAGCCGGCCGGAGAGGGUGACCGGCCUCCUGGGGCCUGCGAUACGGCCCAGACUCCUACGGGAGGCAGCGGUGGGGAACAUUGCACAAUGGGCGCACGCCUGAUGCAGCAGCGCCGCGUGCGGGAUGACGGCCUUCGGGUUGUAAACCGCUUUCGCCUGUGACGAAGCGUGAGUGACGGUAAUGGGUAAAGAAGCACCGGCUAACUACGUG